CUACGGGAUGCACCAGUGAGGAAUAUUGCACAAUGGAGGAAACUCUGAUGCAGCAACGCCGCGUGGAGGAUGACGCAUUUCGGUGUGUAAACUCCUUUUAUAUGUCAAGAAAAUGACGGUAGCAUAUGAAUAAGCACCGGCUAACUCCGUGCCAGCAGCCGCGGUAAUACGGAGGGUGCAAGCGUUACUCGGAAUCACUGGGCGUAAAGGACGCGUAGGCGGGUUAGAAAGUCAGGUGUGAAAUCCUACAGCUUAACUGUAGAGCUGCACUUGAAACUUCUAAUCUAGAGUAUGGGAGGGGGAGAUGGAAUUAGUGGUGUAGGGGUAAAAUCCGUAGGUAUCACUAGGAAUACCUAAAGCGAAGGCGAUCUCCUGGAACAUUACUGACGCUAAGGCGUGAAAGCGUGGGGAGCAAACAGGAUUAGAUACCCCGGUAGUC
Molecule: ribosomal RNA, 439 nt
Filed under: uncultured bacterium
Lineage: Bacteria
Description: partial 16S ribosomal RNA
Rfam family: Bacterial small subunit ribosomal RNA
Source: RNAcentral